GAAUGCUGACAUAAGUAACGAUAAAGCGGGUGAAAAGCCCGCUCGCCGGAAGACCAAGGGUUCCUGUCCAACGUUAAUCGGGGCAGGGUGAGUCGACCCCUAAGGCGAGGCCGAAAGGCGUAGUCGAUGGGAAACAGGUUAAUAUUCCUGUACUUGGUGUUACUGCGAAGGGGGGACGGAGAAGGCUAUGUUGGCCGGGCGACGGUUGUCCCGGUUUAAGCGUGUAGGCUGGUUUUCCAGGCAAAUCCGGAAAAUCAAGGCUGAGGCGUGAUGACGAGGCACUACGGUGCUGAAGCAACAAAUGCCCUGCUUCCAGGAAAAGCCUCUAAGCAUCAGGUAACAUCAAAUCGUACCCCAAACCGACACAGGUGGUCAGGUAGAGAAUACCAAGGCGCUUGAGAGAACUCGGGUGAAGGAACUAGGCAAAAUGGUGCCGUAACUUCGGGAGAAGGCACGCUGAUAUGUAGGUGAAGCGACUUGCUCGUGGAGCUGAAAUCAGUCGAAGAUACCAGCUGGCUGCAACUGUUUAUUAAAAACACAGCACUGUGCAAACACGAAAGUGGACGUAUACGGUGUGACGCCUGCCCGGUGC
Molecule: ribosomal RNA, 592 nt
Filed under: Escherichia coli
Lineage: Bacteria; Pseudomonadati; Pseudomonadota; Gammaproteobacteria; Enterobacterales; Enterobacteriaceae
Description: partial 23S ribosomal RNA
Rfam family: Bacterial large subunit ribosomal RNA
Source: RNAcentral